UGUGAUACAAACCUCAAGGCUUCGAAAUGCGUGCACACGUGACUGCAGAAACUGAAGUGUUGAAUCGCUUGCCGAUUUGGUGAAAUUUAGUUCAAUUUGAACGUGUAGAUACAUGUGUGGAGAUAAGCGUUUUUAAAAAAAUGAGUCUUUGUGCACUACAAUACGCUACUAUGUUAACUACUCCACGAUACCUUUUUUUUUCUGAAGUACUACCAAUUUCUUACUUUAUGAUUGAUGAUUUUUCACCAGCUGAUUUAUGAUUGCUAUCAUCUGUCCGCGGGCGAAUUGGUGCAGCCCAAGCUGAAGCUCUUUGGCACUCACACUCGUCCUCAGCACCAUCCUCCUCACAGCCUCUUAAUUGCUGUUUCGAAAAUCUGCUGGUUGACGAUUGACGUCCAGCUUCUAAUCAGGCAUGGGGUGCAGACGAACUCUCGAUGACGUUUGAUUGGAGUCCUAAAUGUUCCUUGAUCGAGGACUUGCUCCGAAUGAACCUUGGGCAAAAAAUUUAGUCACCCUUGAAUGAUUUUCCUAGAACUCCUGGCUUUAAGUCCUGGUUCACUGGGCCAGAUUACUAGGAAACUUGCUGAGGGGAAGAGCUGAUGACGUUCAAUCGCCCCUCCGCAAUGGUGCGGCGCAGUGCCGCAUUCAACCAGGCCUCGUCCACAACAUCAUUCGACGAAGAAAGGACCGUGAAUUUCUUGGGAUUAUAGAUCGCCGGAACAUCGGCCCUUGUCUCGUCAACAACGCCCUUCCCUUUCUCUACUCUCGAUGUCAUAGGAAGCCCCUCUGACUCACUGUAACUCCUCCCCACCCUCUCGUAUCUCCUCCUCAUCAGAGCCCGCGCGAGCUUGUGAUGAAUCUCCAUCGUCGGGAUAAUGCAACUUUCUCUGAAACCCACCUGCUCUCUCACUCUUUACUCUCUUUGUGAACUUGUCGGAGGUGAAACUCACCCGCUCUUACACUCUUUCCUUUCCUUGUGAACUUGUCGGAGAUGAAACCCACCUGGUGUCUCGCUCUUUCCUAUCUCUGUGAACUUGUUGGAGGUGAAACCCACAUGCUCUCUCGCUCUCUUUUCUGUGUGUGAACUUGUCGGAGGUGAAUGAAUUACUGAGGCUCUCAGACUGGAACUGCGACGCGGCGGUCACGAUGAAGAGUUGGCAAAAGAGAUUGUGAAGAGAAGCGAGGGGGAAGGGAAGAUUAUAUGUGAAGCAGCAGGAGAAGGGCUGCGUGGGUGGUAGUGGUGGGCUUUGCUUUUCCAUUAGACGGAAUGGCGAUGGAAUUGUGCAGGUCGCCAUGAAAUGGCGGACGCGGCACCGCUAGGACGGCUGGGGCUGAGGGUGAGGGCGCGUGUGACGCGGGUCCACAGCACUUGUGGUAAGGAACCCGGCCGGUCCUCUCGUCAACCUCGUGUUUUCAUCCCUCACGCGCAUCGGUAUAUACUACCAGGAUCUGAAUGAAUGAAUGGAUGAAUGAAUUAUUUAUUU
RNAcentral lists this long non-coding RNA (1484 nucleotides) under Physcomitrium patens. RNAcentral's name for it is "long non-coding RNA (PPAT_LNC002113)". The record is from RNAcentral. Lineage: Eukaryota; Viridiplantae; Streptophyta; Bryopsida; Funariales; Funariaceae.